RNAcentral lists this unclassified non-coding RNA (579 nucleotides) under Penicillium montanense. RNAcentral's name for it is "sequence contains 18S rRNA gene, ITS1, 5.8S rRNA gene, ITS2, 28S rRNA gene". The stretch from base 219 to 372 matches the Rfam family "5.8S ribosomal RNA". Lineage: Eukaryota; Fungi; Ascomycota; Eurotiomycetes; Eurotiales; Aspergillaceae. The record is from RNAcentral.
AGUCGUAACAAGGUUUCCGUAGGUGAACCUGCGGAAGGAUCAUUACUGAGUGAGGGCCCUCUGGGUCCAACCUCCCACCCGUGUUUAUUGUACCUUGUUGCUUCGGUGAGCCCGCCUCACGGCCGCCGGGGGGCUUCUGCCCCCGGGCCCGCGCCCACCGAAGACACCAUUGAACUCUGUCUGAAGAUUGCAGUCUGAGCAUAAACUAAAUAAGUUAAAACUUUCAACAACGGAUCUCUUGGUUCCGGCAUCGAUGAAGAACGCAGCGAAAUGCGAUAACUAAUGUGAAUUGCAGAAUUCAGUGAAUCAUCGAGUCUUUGAACGCACAUUGCGCCCCCUGGUAUUCCGGGGGGCAUGCCUGUCCGAGCGUCAUUGCUGCCCUCAAGCACGGCUUGUGUGUUGGGCUCCGUCCCCCCGGGGACGGGCCCGAAAGGCAGCGGCGGCACCGAGUCCGGUCCUCGAGCGUAUGGGGCUUUGUCACCCGCUCUGUAGGCCCGGCCGGCGCCAGCCGACAACCCAUCAUCCUUUUCAGGUUGACCUCGGAUCAGGUAGGGAUACCCGCUGAACCUAAGCAUAUCA